UUCGCCGCGUAUACGGUCGCGCGGGAUUGUUCCAUGAUCCCGUGAGGAAAGUCCGGGCUUCACAGGGCAGGGUGCCGGAUAACGUCCGGUGGGGGUAACCCUAAGGAAAGUGCAACAGAAAUGAUACCGCCUUUUUUAAAAAGGUAAGGGUGGAAUGGCGGUGUAAGAGACCACCGGUGCUCCGGUAACGGAGUACGCUGUGCAAACCCCACUCGAAGCAAGACCAAGCAGAAGGCACAUGCGGCGGCCCGUCGCGCCUUCGGGUAGGUUGCGUGGCAUUCUCGGAAGGGGAUGCCGGAGCUGUAUGGUAACAUGCAGUCAAGAAGGAUGACCGUUUAGUACAGAACCCGGCUUAUUUCGCGGCGUAUUAU
This 371-nucleotide RNase P RNA is filed under the name Lachnospiraceae bacterium. RNAcentral's name for it is "RNase P RNA component class A". It matches the Rfam family "Bacterial RNase P class A". Rfam says of the family: Ribonuclease P (RNase P) is a ubiquitous endoribonuclease, found in archaea, bacteria and eukarya as well as chloroplasts and mitochondria. Its best characterised activity is the generation of mature 5'-ends of tRNAs by cleaving the 5'-leader elements of precursor-tRNAs. The record is from RNAcentral. Lineage: Bacteria; Bacillati; Bacillota; Clostridia; Lachnospirales; Lachnospiraceae.